This 972-nucleotide unclassified non-coding RNA is filed under the name Hevea brasiliensis (rubber tree). Lineage: Eukaryota; Viridiplantae; Streptophyta; Magnoliopsida; Malpighiales; Euphorbiaceae. The record is from RNAcentral.
GUUUUCUCUUAUUCCGCUCUCGGAGUCAGAGAUAGAAAGGCAUAUUCCACGAUUCCCCACUCCCCGAUUUUCCAUUCAUUCCUUCCUCUUCCUAUUCCUCCGAUUUCAAUUCCCUCUUCCCUUUCAAUUUCUUCUCUCAAUCACCGCCGAUUACCCAUCCAUCAACGCAAACAUGCAUUCUAAUCACUUGCUUCUCGAGGAGCCCAUUCGCAUGGCCUCCAUCCUCGAGCCAUCCAAGUCUAGUUUCUUUCCUGCUAUGACUAAGAUCGUUGGGACUCUUGGUCCAAGGUCUCGAUCUGUUGACAUAAUCUCUGGCUGUCUCAAGGCUGGAAUGUCGGUUGCUCGUUUCGACUUUUCAUGGGGUAACCCUGAAUAUCAUCAGGAGACUUUGGAGAAUUUGAAGGCGGCCGUGAAGAGUACCAAGAAGCUUUGCGCUGUUAUGCUUGACACUGUGGGCCCUGAGUUGCAAGUAAUAAACAAAACUGAGAAAUCCAUUUCACUUCAAGAAGAUGCAAUAGUUGUCCUUACACCCAAUCAAGAUCUUGAGGCGACUUCAGAGCUCUUGCCUAUUAACUUUACAGGACUUUCAAAGGCUGUGAAGAAAGGAGACACCAUUUUCGUGGGUCAAUACCUUUUCACCGGAAGUGAAUCAACCUCUGCAUGGCUGGAGGUUUCUGAAGUCAAAGGUGAUGAUGUUGUUUGUGUAAUUAAAAACUCUGCCACAUUGGCUGGAUCACUGUUCACUUUGCAUGGCUCUCAAAUUCAUAUUAACCUUCCUACACUUUCUGAUGAGGAUAAGGAGGUUAUAUCGAGUUGGGGAGUGCAAAACAAAAUUGAUUUCCUUUCACUAUCAUAUACUAGACAUGCCGAAGAUGUUCGACAAGCUCGUGAAUUCCUUUCUAAGUUAGGCGACCUUAGCCAAACCCAAAUCUUUGCCAAGAUCGAGACUGUUGAGGGAUUAACCCAUUUUGA